AGCAGCCGCGGUAAUUCCAGCUCCAAUAGCGUAUAUUAAAGUUGUUGCAGUUAAAAAGCUCGUAGUUGAAUUUCGGGGUCAGUAGAUUGGUCAUGCCUCCGGUAUGCACUGGUCUUACUGGCUCCUCCUUCCUGAUGAACCGUAAUGCCAUUAAUUUGGUGUUGCGGGGAGACUGGACUGUUACUUUGAAAAAAUUAGAGUGUUUAAAGCAGGCUAACGCUUGAAUACAUUAGCAUGGAAUAAUGAAAUAGGACGUUCGAUCUUAUUUUGUUGGUUUCUAAGAUUGACGUAAUGAUUAAUAGGGAUAGUUGGGGGCAUUAGUAUUCAAUUGUCAGAGGUGAAAUUCUUGGAUUUAUUGAAGACUAACUACUGCGAAAGCAUUUGCCAAGGAUGUUUUCAUUAAUCAAGGACGAAAGUUAGGGGAUCGAAGACGAUCAGAUACCGUCGUAGUCUUAACCAUAAACUAUGCCGACUAGGGAUCGGAUGGUGUUAAUUUUUAAUGACUCAUUCGGCGCCUUAA
Molecule: ribosomal RNA, 520 nt
Filed under: uncultured Glomus
Lineage: Eukaryota; Fungi; Glomeromycota; Glomeromycetes; Glomerales; Glomeraceae
Description: SSU rRNA
Rfam family: Eukaryotic small subunit ribosomal RNA
Source: RNAcentral